Molecule: ribosomal RNA, 227 nt
Filed under: uncultured bacterium
Lineage: Bacteria
Description: partial 16S ribosomal RNA
Rfam family: Bacterial small subunit ribosomal RNA
Source: RNAcentral
CCGAGCGGCGGACGAGUGAGUAACACGUACCUAAUCUGCCUGUAAGUGGGGAAUAACCGCCCGAAAGGGUGGCUAAUACCGCAUAUGCUCUACGGAGUAAAGCUUUUGCGCUUACAGAUGAGGGUGCGUCCUAUCAGCUAGUUGGUGAGGUAAUAGCUUACCAAGGCUUUGACGGGUAGCCGGUCUGAGAGGACGAUCGGCCACGCUGGGACUGAGAUACGGCCCAG